This 1149-nucleotide ribosomal RNA is filed under the name Candidatus Paraburkholderia kirkii UZHbot1. RNAcentral's name for it is "LSU rRNA". The stretch from base 163 to 1149 matches the Rfam family "Bacterial large subunit ribosomal RNA", at positions 1 to 936 of the family's 2925-position model. The record is from RNAcentral. Lineage: Bacteria; Pseudomonadati; Pseudomonadota; Betaproteobacteria; Burkholderiales; Burkholderiaceae.
UGCAGUGGUGGAACGAUUUUUUUGUAGUUUGAAGGGCGAGUGCGUUGACGAUCGCGCGUAUCGCGACCAUGCAGAAGCGCAGGCCCAUGUGCUGGACUACAUCCUGAUGUUCUACAACCAGCGCAGCUUGCAUUCGGCUCUCGGGCAUUUGCCGCCUGCCGAGUACGAAGUAGUAAAAGCACAAAGCGCCUGACGAAGUGUCCAAGUUCGGUGAACCACUACAACCCAGAUUCCCAAAGUAGUGGCGAGCGAAAUGGGAUCAGCCGGUACUCUUUAUUUAUCUUAUUAGCUGAACGCUCUGGAAAGUGCGGCCCGAGCAGGUGAUAGCCCUGUAAGCGAAAAUAGAUAGGAGGAAAGAACUAGGGGUACGAGAAGUAGGGCGGGACACGUGAAAUCCUGUCUGAAGAUGGGGGGGCCAUCCUCCAAGGCUAAAUACUCGUGAUCGACCGAUAGUGAACCAGUACCGUGAGGGAAAGGCGAAAAGAACCCCGGGAGGGAAGUGAAAUAAAUCCUGAAACCACAUGCAUAAAAACAGUCGGAGCCUGGAGACGGGUGACGGCGUACCUUUUGUAUAAUGGGUCAGCGACUUGCGUUCAGUAGCGAGCUUAACUGAUUAAGGCAGGCGUAGCGAAAGCGAGUCCGAAUAGGGCGAACAGUUGCUGGGCGUAGGCCCGAAACCAAGUGAUCUAUCCAUGGCCAGGUUGAAGGUGCGGUAACACGUACUGGAGAACCGAACCCACUAACGUUGAAAAGCUAGGGGAUGAGCUGUGGAUAGGGGUGAAAAGCUAAACAAACUUGGAAAUAGCUGGUUCUCUCCGAAAACUAUUUAGGGCAACGCUGAUUAAGUCCACCGCUUGUGCGCGUCAAGCGUUAUAGAGCGCACCAGCAACGAGCAAGGCAAAAGACAAUGAAGCAGCAGACGCUCGCGAUGGCCGCGGAUCAAGGUGCGGGGUUCGAGACUCGCCGCAAACGCACGCGACGCGACGAGUUUCUUGACACGGUGAACAGGAGCGUUGCGUGGACCGAACUGUGCGCGGUAAUUGAACCGUAUUACCCGAAACGCGGCAACGGUCGCCCGCCGAUUGGUUGGGAGCGCAGGCUGCGGAUUCACUUCGUGCAGCACUGGUUCAAUCUGGCCGACUUCGCUUG